AAGCCGUAGAAAGGCGGCUA
This 20-nucleotide small nuclear RNA is filed under the name Arabidopsis thaliana (thale cress). RNAcentral describes it as "snRNA_14712". The record is from RNAcentral. Lineage: Eukaryota; Viridiplantae; Streptophyta; Magnoliopsida; Brassicales; Brassicaceae.